Long non-coding RNA from Ictalurus punctatus (channel catfish), 4806 nucleotides. Lineage: Eukaryota; Metazoa; Chordata; Actinopteri; Siluriformes; Ictaluridae. The record is from Ensembl.
CAGAAAGCAUAGUAUACAUAUAAAAUAUUGAUAAAGACUGAUAAAUGUCCAUUGGAGCAGGUAACAGAUGAAAUCAAAACAUCUAUUACGUAGGUUCGAGUGAUAUAAGAACUAAAGACGUCUAGUCUUCCAGAUAAUAGGAGGAAGAAGUACCAAAAGAGAGAGGGGGUGAAAGGGGGGGUGAUUAGGAAUGCUCAAAACAACACAUACCAAGAACAGAAAACAAUUUGGUUCCAGCACUUCAUGACACAAACUAGAGAGCUUCAUAAUAGAGAUACAGAGAUCAUGCCUGAAACUUAUCACUAAGUGUCAGAAUUCAGAUCAAUAUCUCAAGAAAUAAUAAUAAUAAUAAUAAUAAUAAUAAUAAUAAUAAUAAUAUCAUAUAAAAUAGGUGAGGAGCUGAGAGAGAGUUGCCCCUCCCCCACAGGGAAAACAACUGAACAUCUUUUCCUGCUGGAGCUCAUUCUCUCUCUCACAGCUCCAUCUGACUGGAGGAGCAGCAGUUCACAGCUGGACAUCAACUCAAGGCAAGUAAUGUUUUUUCUCCUUAUCUUUACACAUAGUUAUAAAUCUGUUCUGUAGUUUAAUUAAAUUAAAUCGUUAAAUAGAGCUUCAGCUAUACAGUUUAAAGAGAAGACAGCUAACUAGCGGUUAGCCCUAAGAUUAAAUCUACCAAAAAUUAUUUAAACUGAGAUGUAGUGAGUAGAUACUUCUUUUGAGUAAAAUCUAACAUGUUAAAGUACAAGGCCAAAGGUUUACUUCUUCCUGUAGACCUUUUUGUUUGUAUUUUUACACCCAUUUCCCGCCAAAAUGUUAGCUUUCUAGCUAACAUGCUACUGAGCAGAUUAUUUUAGUUUAGCACAGCAUGAAUUUUAUUUAACAUGAGCUUAAAAUAGACAUUUUGUCUGUUUUAACGAGUUUCCUGAAAGUUUGUUGGCUUUAAAUCACAGCAUUUUAUUUGAAGUUGUAAAUAGCUGAUAUUUUUGUAUGCUUUGUAAAGCUCUCAGUGAACAUAUAUCCCAUAUAUCCCAGUGAACACUAGCUUGCUGCUAGCUGAAGUUCAGUCAGUUAGUUACACAAGAUGGUGGAUAGUUACACAAGAUGGUGCUGUCUGUCUUACCUCAGCGGCUACGAGCGCGCGCGUUACUGCUGCCGAUUCAGCGCCGCUUUCUGAGAGAAGUGUUUUAUGUGACGUGUUAAGAAGUUGUUUGUCAUCAGAAUGAGCGUUUUGGCCAUAUAACAGAGAAGGUUUUCUUACCAAAUACAUUAAAUCAGCUCUUCACUUUAUUGCUGCGUGCCUCAGUGUGUUAAUUCUGUGAGGUAUAAUUCAGAAAAAAUGUUUUUUAUGUUUCCAGUCGAUGCUAAGUGAGCUGAACUAAGACCUGAAGACACAGUUAAAUAAAAUACAAUACUUUUGCUUGGGAAAGAUUGAUCUUUGUGUAUUAUAUAUAUAUAUAUAUAUAUAUAUAUAUAUAUAUAUAUAUAUAUAUAUAUAUAUAUAUAUAUAUAUAUUGCUGUGUGCAAUGUCAGUCGUGCAUUUCUUUCUUUAGUUAAUUUCUUUCUAAUGAACUGACUGUAUAAUUAUCAACAUGUAUAUUUUAAAACAUUAGAUUAAGAAAGAUGUUGAAGUAAGAUAUCGAGGUAAACAUGUGUAUUGUGAAGUCAAAAUAUCAUUAAUAUUCAGAAAAAAAGAAACCACACACACUUUUCCUUUCCUUCUGACCCCUUCAAAAAAACACUGAAAAUAAAAUAGAAAUUGGUACAUACCACGUUAACAAGACAUGAAAUUUUAAAAUAAUUGAACUGACAAAAGUUCCAACGGAACCAAAAAAUAAAUGUUAUAAAAAACUAAUAGGAGAAUAAUGAGGACUAUUUGUUUAAUUCUUUCCUCGUUAUACUGUUUAGGGAGAGGUGUGAAAACAGGACACUCAUCCACAGUCAUCACCAGAUCUCGAAGCGCUUGUCUUUUCGGAAAGGCUCAAUAUCAGUAAUUCUGUUGUUGUGGAGUCUGAAGACACAACAAAGAUAUUCAAACUUUCAUUAAACAGAUCCAAACCAGUGCUACAAGAGAAGUCCAGUCUGCUCUGCAGAGCAGAGAAAACUGCUGCUACUGCCCCCUGCUGGAUCUCAGAGAUACUGCAGCAGUGGAUCAACUUCAACAACAGGACCCUGUCAACACUGAGAGCAAGGAAAACAAGCAUUUUCUUUGUUACACUUAUGUAUUUUUUAAUUAGUGGUGCUUGAAAAGCACUACUAUUGUUCUUCGGCAUACUUAUUAUAAAUAUUAUUCUUCUUCUGCCACUUUUUUUUCGGCGCGUAACUAGUCCCGCACCGUUUGUCGGAGAUCGACGGGUGAGGUGUCAAAUCGAUCGGCUUAUUGAGUAGAGGUGUGCUAUGACUUUUGGUAGCGAUUGUAAUGUCGGCAUUUCCGGUACGGAAGCUCAAAGUCGGAAAAUUUCCCAUAGACUUGCAUUGAGUUUUGAAAGUAUUGGCACUCUAAAGAGAAAGCUCUAAAAGUUUUGCCUCCGUACACAUUCGGCUCUAAAAUGUAUUGGCACCUGAUCUGUUCGGCACUCAGAAGUAUUGGCACCCUAUCUGUCCGGCUCUCGAAAGUAUUGGCACCCUACGCGGGUCGGCUUUUGAAAGAAUUGGCGCCCCGUCCCAGUUUCGCCGCGUCAAGCACCACUCACAUUUUCUUCAGGAAAUGUACCGGUCUAGUUAUUACUGCAAUUUCUAUUACUCUAAAGUGGAUUGUGAACACUGAGUUACCUGAGCUGAGAAACUCUGUUGAACAGAGGGAGAAUCUUCACCAGCUCCCCCUCUGGUAUGGAGGUCCACAGCAGGCUCAGAGAGACAGAAGUACAGUGUUGGAGGGUGAAGCACAGGGCAGUACAGUGGUAAGAGUCCAGCUCUGUAUUGUUCAGGUUGAUACAGCUGUGUGUUGAACUCAACAGACUGGACACACAGUGAGCAGAGCCAGUCUCAUAGAUCUCUCUGAUGAUUGACAGCACAACACUGGGGUUCAAUCUGUAGAGGUUACAAUCACAUCCAUACAUAAAUUUAACGAUAAAUAUUAUUCUUCUGUUAAACCAAUACAGGAGAGGCAAUUCUUUUUAUUUAUUCCUUUUCUUUCCACAAGGUUUAUUAAUUAUUAAUAUUUAACGAUAUGAGCCUCUGAGUACUGAGUGUGGAUAUAUUAUUGUUCAACAUUGAAGAUAUGUCCAUUAAAUAAUGCAUUAAGAUAAUAGUGUAUCUGAUUAUCAUAAAUGUUUACGUGUGUCAUUAUUGGUGCAUUAAUAUGUGGUACAUUUCUAUUCCAGAAACCACACAUAUAGUAAAAGGUGUCUUUGGAAGCAAGAGUGCCUGAUCACAUGAUGUUGACUAAUAAAGAUGAUCAGACAGCCAUAAGAGUUGCUUCAUCUUGAAUCAGGCUCACAUUACUCAAACCGGUGUUCAUGUGGAUGUGACUUCAUCUAUUCUUUUACAUAGCUUUGAGUCUUUGGAACUUAACACAGACUCUGAAAGUGCAUUACCAAGCAAAAUUCACUAUACCUUAGUAUUACUGUUAUAAAAUUAUAAUUAGUUUCAGUUUCGGAAGGAUGUUAAUGAGUUAUGUACAGUAGGUAUCUAAUAUUGUUCAAUAGUACAUUAUUCAAAAGUAAGCAAAGAAACAUUUUAGAUGUAACCCACCUAAUAGUCUUAAAUUGCUACUCAACAUUUAAAGAUUAAGUAUGAAAGCAGAAAUUCUUUCAAAGGAGAUUACAUGUGUAUCUUCUUACCGUUUAAACUGAAUUUCAGACAGUAGAGGAAGAAUCUGUCUGGCAUGAUUAUAUGUGAUUUUGCUCUUUCUGAUGUUCGCACUAAUGCAGCAAACUCGCUGCUGGAGAAAAUAGAUAAGCUCCUCCCAACUGAGAGAACAGGAAGUCAGGUCUCCUCCCACCUUCUCCAGGAAAAAGCGGGUCAGUUCCCCAUCCUGCACCUCACACAGCAGACUGCAUGACACAUGAGGCUGAUGAGAGAGUGAGCCUCCAUCCUGCACUCAGUGAGAUUCACACAGUGAACAGUCCAGAUGUUCAGGAGAGAAGACAAACUGCUCAGAAAUGUGAAGAUCUCUUUCUUUGGGUUUAUGCUGUUAAGCCUCAGACAGAGCUCCUCAAUGACCAACGAGCCACCAGCUCUCACUGCUCCAAAUGCUCGGACCAUCCUCCCUACCACACGGUCACUCAGGCUGACAAGCGUUCACCAAACACAUUCAUUAAAGGGGAUUUCAUGGUCCAGCUCAAUUUCACUCAUGCAUACUAAAGCUUAAUGAAGUUAUAUAACCUGGUGUGAAAAUUAAGAAACUGAUUAAUAACAUACCAGAGUUUCUGUAGGUGUGUGAUGUGUCUGAAGAGAAGUCUGGCCCCUCGGAGAGAGAUGGCUCGGGGUUUCAGAGUGAGUUUGACUUUGGAGUCUGAGAGACGUAGCACUUUCCUCACAGCCCUGCACUCACGAGUGGUUAAAACCCAGUCUAUAAUGAAGAUGAAGUCCAAGGCAGCAAAGAAAGCUCUCACCAACUUUGUAUCUUCUGCGCAGUCAACAACUGCUUUACUUAAACGUGGAAUGAACUCUUCUUCACAUCUAAAACAGACAGGAUUAAUGUAAAACUAUAAAUAGGACAUCUUCUAACUUAUUGUUCUUAAAAUUCCAUAAAUAACAUGUUAGAGGUGAUGCAGUGCUGCUAUAAAGUUUGUGAACCUUUUACAUUUUCUGCAUUUCUGCAUAAAUUUGAUCUGAAAUGUGAUCAGAUCUUCAUCUCAGUCAGAA